This 790-nucleotide ribosomal RNA is filed under the name uncultured bacterium. Its description in RNAcentral is "bacterial SSU rRNA". It matches the Rfam family "Bacterial small subunit ribosomal RNA", at positions 8 to 796 of the family's 1533-position model. The record is from RNAcentral.
AGAGUUUGAUCAUGGCUCAGGACGAACGCUGGCGGCGUGCCUAAUACAUGCAAGUCGAGCGAACCCUUCGGGGUUAGCGGCGGACGGGUGAGUAACACGUGGGCAAUCUGCCUGUCAGACUGGAAUAACACUCGGAAACGGGUGCUAAUGCCGGAUGACACACGGGAAGGCAUCUUCCUGUGUUGAAAGGUGCAACUGCACCGCUGAUAGAGGAGCCCGCGGCGCAUUAGCUAGUUGGUGAGGUAACGGCUCACCAAGGCGACGAUGCGUAGCCGACCUGAGAGGGUGACCGGCCACACUGGGACUGAGACACGGCCCAGACUCCUACGGGAGGCAGCAGUAGGGAAUCUUCCGCAAUGGGCGCAAGCCUGACGGAGCAACGCCGCGUGAGCGAAGAAGGCCUUCGGGUUGUAAAGCUCUGUUGCUCGGGGAGAGCGACAAGGAGAGUGGAAAGCUCCUUGUGAGACGGUACCGAGUGAGGAAGCCCCGGCUAACUACGUGCCAGCAGCCGCGGUAAUACGUAGGGGGCAAGCGUUGUCCGGAAUCACUGGGCGUAAAGCGUGCGUAGGCGGUUGUGUAAGUCUGGAGUGAAAGUCCAAGGCUCAACCUUGGGAUUGCUUUGGAAACUGCAUAACUUGAGUGCUGGAGAGGCAAGGGGAAUUCCACGUGUAGCGGUGAAAUGCGUAGAUAUGUGGAGGAAUACCAGUGGCGAAGGCGCCUUGCUGGACAGUGACUGACGCUGAGGCACGAAAGCGUGGGGAGCAAACAGGAUUAGAUACCCCAGUAGUCC